CGGGGUGCUCAAUGGCGGAGACACUGGUGAGCUUUUUGCUGGCAACGGCCAUGGAUUCCUUGUACAGCUGCUCUUCGGGGUGGUGGAAACGGAAUUGUGUGGUGCGGCUGGGGGGAAGUGUAGAGCACCCUGUUGGGUCCUGAAAGAACAACCCGUGUUGGUUGUUUUCUUCAGACCCGAUUACUCCACCGGUUGGUGGGGGUUGGUUGCCAGGCAUGGCCUGGUCUCGCAUACCGCCGGCUUUGGUCCGGUUUUGGUGUGGGGCUGU
RNAcentral lists this unclassified non-coding RNA (268 nucleotides) under Micromonospora gifhornensis. RNAcentral describes it as "partial 16S-23S ribosomal RNA intergenic spacer". The record is from RNAcentral. Lineage: Bacteria; Bacillati; Actinomycetota; Actinomycetes; Micromonosporales; Micromonosporaceae.